This 524-nucleotide ribosomal RNA is filed under the name Bifidobacterium longum subsp. infantis. RNAcentral's name for it is "bacterial SSU rRNA". It matches the Rfam family "Bacterial small subunit ribosomal RNA", at positions 160 to 699 of the family's 1533-position model. RNAcentral also lists the same sequence under 2 other names. The record is from RNAcentral. Lineage: Bacteria; Bacillati; Actinomycetota; Actinomycetes; Bifidobacteriales; Bifidobacteriaceae.
GUGGUAAUGCCGGAUGCUCCAGUUGAUCGCAUGGUCUUCUGGGAAAGCUUUCGCGGUAUGGGAUGGGGUCGCGUCCUAUCAGCUUGACGGCGGGGUAACGGCCCACCGUGGCUUCGACGGGUAGCCGGCCUGAGAGGGCGACCGGCCACAUUGGGACUGAGAUACGGCCCAGACUCCUACGGGAGGCAGCAGUGGGGAAUAUUGCACAAUGGGCGCAAGCCUGAUGCAGCGACGCCGCGUGAGGGAUGGAGGCCUUCGGGUUGUAAACCUCUUUUAUCGGGGAGCAAGCGAGAGUGAGUUUACCCGUUGAAUAAGCACCGGCUAACUACGUGCCAGCAGCCGCGGUAAUACGUAGGGUGCAAGCGUUAUCCGGAAUUAUUGGGCGUAAAGGGCUCGUAGGCGGUUCGUCGCGUCCGGUGUGAAAGUCCAUCGCUUAACGGUGGAUCCGCGCCGGGUACGGGCGGGCUUGAGUGCGGUAGGGGAGACUGGAAUUCCCGGUGUAACGGUGGAAUGUGUAGAUAUCG